This 389-nucleotide ribosomal RNA is filed under the name uncultured bacterium. RNAcentral describes it as "bacterial SSU rRNA". It matches the Rfam family "Bacterial small subunit ribosomal RNA", at positions 29 to 416 of the family's 1533-position model. The record is from RNAcentral.
AUUGAACGCUGGCGGAAUGCUUUACACAUGCAAGUCGAGCGGCAGCGCGGGGGCAACCCUGGCGGCGAGCGGCGAACGGGUGAGUAAUACAUCGGAACGUGUCCUUAAGUGGGGGAUAGCUCGGCGAAAGCCGGAUUAAUACCGCAUAAGCUCUGAGGAGGAAAGCGGGGGCUCCGUAAGGACCUCGCGCUGUUGGAGCGGCCGAUGUCGGAUUAGCUAGUUGGUGGGAUAAAGGCCCACCAAGGCGACGAUCCGUAGCUGGUCUGAGAGGAUGAUCAGCCACACUGGAACUGAGACACGGUCCAGACUCCUACGGGAGGCAGCAGUGGGGAAUUUUGGACAAUGGGGGGCAACCCUGAUCCAGCCAUUCCGCGUGAGUGAAGAAGGCC